This 446-nucleotide ribosomal RNA is filed under the name uncultured bacterium. RNAcentral's name for it is "partial 16S ribosomal RNA". It matches the Rfam family "Bacterial small subunit ribosomal RNA", at positions 338 to 795 of the family's 1533-position model. The record is from RNAcentral.
CCUACGGGGUGCAGCAGUCGAGAAUCAUUCACAAUGGGGGAAACCCUGAUGGUGCGACGCCGCGUGGGGGAAUGAAGGUCUUCGGAUUGUAAACCCCUGUCAUGUGGGAGCAAAUUAAAAAGAUAGUACCACAAGAGGAAGAGACGGCUAACUCUGUGCCAGCAGCCGCGGUAAUACAGAGGUCUCAAGCGUUGUUCGGAAUCACUGGGCGUAAAGCGUGCGUAGGCUGUUUCGUAAGUCGUGUGUGAAAGGCGCGGGCUCAACCCGCGGACGGCACAUGAUACUGCGAGACGAGAGGAAUGGAGGGGGAACCGGAAUUCUCGGUGUAGCAGUGAAAUGCGUAGAUAUCGAGAGGAACACUCGUGGCGAAGGCGGGUUCCUGGACAUUAACUGACGCUGAGGCACGAAGGCCAGGGGAGCGAAAGGGAUUAGAUACCCUUGUAGUC